Small nuclear RNA from Cebus imitator (Panamanian white-faced capuchin), 106 nucleotides. Lineage: Eukaryota; Metazoa; Chordata; Mammalia; Primates; Cebidae. The record is from Ensembl.
GUGCUCACACUGGCAGCACAUACACUGCAAUCAGAAUGAUACAGAAAAGUUGUCAAGGCACCUGUGCAAAGAUGGCAAGCAAAUUCAUGAAGUGUUGCAUUUUUAA